Long non-coding RNA from Ictalurus punctatus (channel catfish), 8132 nucleotides. The record is from Ensembl. NCBI's taxonomy places the organism in Eukaryota, Metazoa, Chordata, Actinopteri, Siluriformes, Ictaluridae.
ACAGUUACGGCAAUGUGCCUCUGUCAUCUUUUCACUUUGUUGUUGUCUAGUGCAAGUUGAUUGGCUGUCGAACUGGUUGAACAAUGACCACAGAAACAAAGAUUGAUGCUGAUUUGCUGAAAAUUCAUUGUUUAUUUAGAAAAAAAGAAUAGUACAUUCACUGCAUACUUUAAAAUGUAUCAUUUAAAAUGUUUGGUUUUGAAUCAAGCCUUACAAAGUCAAAAGACUGGAGUUCAAGUGAAGUUACAUGUCAUUGUGAAAGUCAGCAAAUAUGUGAUUUGUGUCCAAGUCGAGUCCACAACACUGCUAACUGUUACAUUACGGUUAGCUAGAUCUCUGGUACGAGGUAGAUGAAAAGCCCAAGUGAUUGUUUUAUGUUUUUUUUUCUUUUAGCAAGAACAAUUUUAAGAUGUGCUUACACUAGGCCCGGUUGCGUUGUACCGUGAUCAAGCACGAUUGUCCCCACUUCCCAAUUCCCCACUGGCCUGCACUCACAGUAUACUUAACAUCCCGGGCCUGAGAACGCGUACGUCAUUAUGGUGCUGCUUUUAGUUUUGAAGAAAACAAGAAAACAGGAAGAAAAGCAUUCUCGCACAGCACAACGAAGCACAUCAUCAUGACGUUACUUAUCUUUAAACAUACUUUGUUAUGUUAGCUUUUACAUGACUUUUAUACAGUUGGUAUAUAUGCUUAUUUUUAUUAUUUGAAUCUAUACAUGAUUGUGUUUUUAUGUAAAGUGACUUGAAAAGCUACUUUUAAAGGCACAAUAUUAAAUAAAGAUUAUUAAUAUUGCAGUUUAUUUGUAGUCGUUUGGGGCACGGUGACAGCACAGCGAUUUUUGCUGCAUGGUAUCAGAAGAUUUUUCCGCAGGCAGCUGACAGUUGCAUCAGUGACAUCAUGUUUUGCGUUUCGUGCUCAGCCACGAUUAAUGAUCACACUAGAUGUGUACCGUGCCAGAGUCCAACUGAACCAUGCCUGAGCCCACCUCUUCAAGUGGGCCUGGGCACGGUACGGAGUGAUCAAACUAGUCAAGCGAACUGGUCUUUGGGAGUCAAAUGUGCUCGGGCAUGGUACAGAUCAUCUAGUCUUAGUACACCCUUAGUGAAUUUAAUCAGUGAAGUAAUAAGUGAAGCUAUAAGCUCGAAGAAUAUCUCAUUUUAAAUAUAAAACUUCAGUAACGUUCCAUACAAUUUGUCUUGUUUUUAUGACUUUUUCAAUGAAAGCAUGCUGAUGUCAACUUCUUCUCCCUAACUCUGUCUAAAUGGUUUGUUCUGUAAGCCAGGGGCCAUAUAUAUCAAAUGUCUCAAGGAUCAUAUUUCUACAGUCUAAUAGCAUUCAUUAAAAAAAAUCUCAGAACUUGGGAACCCCACAGACUUAUAUUUUAAGUUAUUCAUUAUAUUUUUAGUUAUAUUUCACUAUUGAAGGUCUUUUUACUGUUUUGGUUUACUAUCUCUACUAAUCCAGCACAAAAAUAAUAUACUGUACAGUUACUCUAAUAUAACAAAAACAUUUCCAGGUGCAAUUAAAUCACAUAAUACUGUAUCUUAUAUCAUGUCUCUUUGACUUAUGCAAAAAAACAUUCUAUUCAACCUUCCACGUGUGAAAAGUAUGCAUACAUAAAUCAUGAAUCUUAGAACUUAAUCAUGAGAGAUGCAUUCAAAAACUUCACUGCUUUGAGGAAUGAAAAAGAUCUCAAAGGUCUUAAGAUGCCAUGUAUUCACUGUCAACAAAGAGGGGAACAAUAAUGGCUGACAGGUGUCCUCCCCAUUUCAGGUUGCACUUUUGUUCCACUAUGCCCUGAGUCUUCUCACAUGGAUUUUCUUUCUGUGCCUACAACCUGAUAAGACGUUUCCUUUUUUUUUUAUGUGAGCAACAUUGGUCUGGGAGUGUCUUGCGUUUUAGCCUUCUGUUAACUUUGAUCAUUCUGUUUUCACAUAAGCAAGAAAGAGAAUUGAUAGGAUUUCACUCCCACCUCCUUCAACAGCCCUCUACAAGAGUAUUACUGUAUUAGGUUUCCACAUAACUACAUUGUACUAAGGAAAAUAUGCGAGAUCAGCAGAGAUGUCUGUGGGAACCUACAGAGAUGUACAUGGCAUUAGCAAGAUGCUAGCUGUGUUUUUGUUUUCUGAAAUAGUUUGGUCUAAACAGACCAUUUAUCAUUUGUGGCCCUGUAUUCUGAUCUACAUAAUAACAUUCACAGACAUCCACACAAAGCUUAAAAUCAAGUUACCUACAAUGCUGCUGCCACAGAAGUCACAGAAAGUCCUAAAUACUGCAGAGAAGUGGAGUUCUGGCUAAAACUUGUGUAAUAAACAACAAAAUAAGAUCUAAACCCACAGUGUAGAGAUUAGGUCCAAGUUUUAAGAGAUACUGUAACUCUUAAAAUCUCUGUGUAACAAAUAUAUAAAAGCUUACACAAAGCUUAGAGGUGCCUGUUGUAAGUUAUUUGAAGGUGAAUGGUACAACUAAUAAACUGACUAUUGUGUGUAUAUCUGAAGCCGAUAGCAGGAAUUAAUGUAAAAUGGGUGAUUAUGCAGAACAGGUCUGUUAGCAAGGAAUUCUAGACCUUGGAAUUAUAAGGUCCUCUCUGAUAAUUCUGUGAUUUUAAGAUAUUGAGCCAUAAAGUAUUGGCUCUCAAUAAGGUCUAAACAAAAACAAUUAAAAAAUUAUUCUCCUAUUCAUUCAUUCAUUCAUUCAUUCAUUCAUUCAUUCAUUCAUUCAUUUUUAGUCAGCACUUUAUCUGGACAGGGUUAUGGUUGAUCUGGAGCCUAUACCUCGAACAUUCGACAUGACACAGGAAUGCACUCUGAAUGGGACCCUAGUCCAUCACAGAGCACCAUGAACACACACAUUCAUACACUCAUCCACACCUAGGGGUAAUUUAGCAAAGCCAAUCCACUUACUGGCAUGUUUUGGGAAGUAAGAGGAAACCAGAAAACCUGGAAGAAACCCACAUGAAAAAAGGACACCAUACAAACUUCACAACGCAACGCAACUGUCUUAGACACCAUGCAACUGUGCCACCCUCAGUGGCAUGUAAUUCUGUACCACUUAUCCUACACAGGGCCGUGAGGAGUCUGGAGCCUAUCCUAGGGAACUCGGGGCACAAGGCGGGAAUACCAUGGAUGGGGUGCUAACCCAUUGCAGGGCACAAUCGCGCACAAACUACGGACAAUUUGGAAAUGCCAAUCAGCCUACAAUACAUUUACUUGCAAAUUCAUAACAAUACUCCUGACUGUAUUUGUAUGAAAUGCUAUGAAAGUUAAUGUGAAGGUAAUGUCUGUACUGUCUCUUAAGAUUUAAUUUCAAAAUUAGAUCUCUUUCUCAUGGCCUGUAAAAUAAUAAUCUUACAUGGAGAUGAAAACAGUCUCCACUGUUAGAAUUGUAUACUUAUUUCAGGUGCAAAGGUCAUUCUUUUAAAUCUGACCUGUUUCCGCAAAUAUAGUGUUCUUUGGUUUCCACUUUUGCCUCUUGACAUGGUUCCAAAUCUUAGCUGCUUUAAUGUUUCAACAGAUUUUGCAGAAGCAAUUUUUUAUAUCCCCAACCAUAGCAAUGAUUACACAAUAACAAAAAGUACUCCAGUCUGAUGGGAUGCUUUAAAAACCGCCAGCUACAGACUGUACAGUUCCUUUGGAAAUAGAGAGAAAAACAUAAUCUAGCACAGACUGAUUAGAGAUCGGCAUCACUGGGUGUUUCAUCAUCGUCUCCCUGGUGCUGACUCAGCACAAAGCGCAUAACAAAUUUAAGUGUGACCUGUGUCCACAUACUGUCUAUCACUCUAAAGUGAUCCACACACCCAAACCAAACUUCCUGACUAGCUGUUUUUAGAUUGCGCACACCCCCUGUCCUCAGUGAUCAAACUGCAAACUUCUAUUCGGUGCUGAGUGCUUCCAUUAAACUAAGUAGUCCUCCACAUUUAGCUUGCGUAGCAUUUUCUUCACAUAGCUGCUAAUAAAUAGCCCACUUCAGCACAGUGUAUGGCCUGCUCUCAAUAGGCACGUAAUGAUAUACAUUAUUCUAUAAACUAGCAUGUUAAUGUGAACUGUAUGGCAUAAAUAAUCAAGUGGACCUAUUAUCAGUUCUGAUGAAAUUUGUUUAGGUUAGGAAAUCAUGCUAGUAAUUGCACACUAGGGUCAGGAAGUAAAAGUCUCAGGAAUUGGCAGCAGUUAUUUGCUGAGUAGGUGUAACGUACAGUACAAGUAGCAAUAUUUAUGCACAUAUUCAACCAAGGUCACAGAAAGAUUUUGACAAACAACACAGAUUGAUUGUAAAUGUGAUUCCAUUGAUCUAAUAAUAGGAAGUAUCUCUAACGAAUGUUUAGCAUUGGUGGCACAGCUCACAUUCUUAAAUUUCUUAUACACUUUAUUUUAGCACGUCUAGACUGUGGAGAUUAAUUAUUUCUCUAAUGGCGCUCUAGCAACCCAGAGUGUGACCCUUUACUUCAUUUAACAUGAAUGAAAAAAUCUCAUACUAACCUUUACUCUCAGCACAGUGAGCAAUCCAUCUUUUAUUUGACCUCAUCUCCCAUCUCUCUUCACCUGGAAUAAGAAUAAACAGUAGCAUGUCAUAUGAAAGAACCGCAGAUGGCUCCAUAUUGCCAGUUGAAUCAGAUCAAACCUUCUAAUCUUGACCUACUUUUCCUCCCACAUAUAUCCCUUUUACCAAGGUAGAUAAACCCAUGCUCUCACCACACAUCUAACAAUAUAGAAGCAAAGUGCAGCAUGGCGUGCAUUCUGCAUCUCUCCUCAUAGCUGAGGUACACCGAAACAGUUUCAGCUAUUAUAAAUCAUUUACUGCACAGUCCAUUCCUGCUUUAAGGGGGUACAUUAGGCUAUACACUUAACUCUGGUUGAAAAUACUGUAUGCUCUUCAAGGAUCGCUUGUUUGUCAUUGUAUGUGUGUGUCAUGACCUGUGACCUGGUGGCUUUCGUGUCACUUGAGUAACUGCUUUUGUAUAUAUGUGUCUAUUAAUGAUCAUAAGACUUGGAGCGCCAUUUUCAUGCAGUGUAAUUUAGUGAUACUGUAUAACACUGGUAUAUUGCAGUUUUUUCCUAUUAUUACCCAGUUGCUAUUUUUGUGUUCAUAAAUAAACACUAAAAUGGCUGGCGCAGUGCAACAGGGGCUAUAACGUUCAAAAUCUAUCAUCAUAGUGAUAUUUUUUAAAUCCAUAAGGACCAAAUUCUAUUGUACAUUACUGCCUAUGGAGAUCCUGAUGCUAAAAUGGUAUUUUCCUGUCCAAUUUCUUCCAAGAUGGUUUAGCUGAUGUACACUAUUAAUGUCAUGUCACUUCAAUAUCAAGAGGCUUCUUAUCCAAAUAAUAACUAAAUAUAACUGAGUCAAUCAUUUUAUUUAUAUCAAAUAAGAUCAAACAGAUCAGCUCUGGCUACCAAAUGUGGAUCAGACAAUCGAGACAUAAUUACAUGUGGACUAUCGCUUAAUUAAUGCAAUCAACUGAAUGUCUGACAAAACUAAUUCAAUGCUAAUGGCUACAGAGACCAGGAGUUGGCUGAUAUAGAUCGUUCCAGAGGCUCGCACAUGUAAGUGAAAAAGAAAAUAGAAAACACAUUUAUUGUAAGUUUUGUCAGCCAGUUGGUUAUUUCUACCCCUACAAUAUUGCAGAGAAAUAUACAAGUGGAAUCUAAUAGUAUAUUAUUAUCGAAAUAUUACUGCACUGAACCGCAGUCUUUAAAAAGAGCGAGAUGAGAUUGCUGACAUUGUUUGGAUCGUCUACCACACAUUGUGGUAAUGUACUCAUACUAAUGAUGUGACUACAUUACACAACAUAAAGAUUAUAUAAUGCUGCAUUUGUUGUAUGAUCAGGUAUGUCAUGUGGUAGGCAAUUUAGGUUAUAAACACACUACUUAAUCUCAGAAAAACUCCAAGGUACCAGCAAAGACAGUUCAGCUUGGCAAAGAGACAGCGAGAGAAAAUUAGACUUGACGUAAACAUGAACACUGACUACAAACCUGUAAUAAUAAAGUGUAAGCUUUUAUUGUCGAUAUUAUACACCAUAAGUGAAAAAGAUCAAUUGUGUGCAUGAACAUGAAUUUAAAAAAACAACAACUUCUCCUGGGGAAAAAAGACAAAAAACAGUCUCGUCGUCAAUACAGGUUUUCAGUUUUAAUGUGAUCAGGACAUGAGACAACGGAGAGACAGCAGAUAUGCAUGCAACCCCCUCUCUCUUUCUUUGCCUGCUCUGCCCUGGGCAGCAAUAGUUUGGUAUUGCCAAGGCAAGCUGGAUAGUUACCAUGGAGAUCUGUAUAAACCUCGACUCCGCCACCCUACAAGACGGGUGAGGCCAUGCAUUUGGGCGUGCACACACAUACACACACACACACACACACACACACACACACACACACACACACACACAGAAACCCACACAGGUAGUCACACAUCCCUGUCUUGUGCCAGAGGCUCCAAUUUUUUAUAUGUGUGUAAAUUAACUCAUGUUUAUCUAAAGAAGGAGAAAAUAGCCCUUCCUCCUAAUAGCUUACUCACUAUAACCAAGGCUGAGGGAUUACCUAUAAAACCGAAUAGUGGAUUUAAAGGAUUAUAACUAUUAAAAUUAGCAACACUUUUAAAAGCACAAUUAACAUUUUGGACACAAUUACAUACUCUGUUCUCUACACCUAAUUUUAACAUUUUCUUUUGUAUUAAAUGUUUUUUAUUUUUAGUUUUUUUUAAUGUGGCUGUGAUUAAAAUUAAACGUGUGUGCAUUGUGUGUGUGUGUGUGUGUGUGUGUGUGUGUGUGUGUGUGUGUGUGUGUGAGUAUCUAGGGACAUGUGGAGUUCAGACCACAGUUCAUCCAGAAGUGAUUCUUUUCAUUAGCUAUUAUAAAUAAUUUAUCAGUGAGGCUGUUCUCUACAAAAACAGCACUUGCAGUUACAUACACCAUGUAGGCCACACACACACACACACACUCUCUCUCUCUCUCUCUCUCUCUCUCUCUCUCUCUCACAAAACCCAGAGGCAGUAACUCCCACAUAGAUAUUUUGUUACCAUCAUUCAGCACUUUUACAGAAAAGUCUUCAACUGCAGUAAGUACAAACAUCCUGAUCACAUUCAUUACCAUCAUGUAUAGUACCUUCAGUAGAGAGACAGCACAAAACAUCAAGGGUUAAUAUUCAAUCUUGCAUCUACUCCUCUUUCUGCCUCUUUUGUAUAUCCAAGAUGGAAGCACCAUUCUCGAACGCACACGCUAAAAAUAAUCCUCCAUGAUUGGAGGGAUGAAGUGUCAAUUAUUCUUAUGCAAAUGUGCCCAGUUUCUCACGUUUCCAAAGAGAAAGACCACAGAUGGCUACACAGAAAUCUCUGCGCGAGGCUACCAGACAAAAAGAGCUUGCAUAAUAAUGUGACGCCGCUAUUUGCAUGUCUGUCUUCCGCCGCAAUGAAAAAUCAAGCACAGCGGAGAGGGUUCAUGCAAUCCUGGCAUGAAGGAUGCAGUAGAGUUCGUCUAUGGUAAUGGGAUCAUGGGAGAGUGGCCUGCCUCUGCGUCUCUGUCUUUCCCUCUCUCACACACACACUCCCACACAUAAAUACACCCAAACAGGGUCCACGCCAUACCCCCCCUCCACCCCACCCCGCAAAAGAGUGGUCGCAGGACAAUGGCACUAUUGUUGCCCCCUUGUUUUGAAACCCCAGGCAGAGAACAGUUGCUGUUUACCCAAGCCAUGGCGUCCCUCCGAUCCGGAUGUUAAUUAAUUGGAGGGCUCCUGAUUGAGCUUGCUCUGUGCACACAGCACAAAAACAGGCAUUCAGGGCCACGAGGGGAAGGAGCGCUCUCAUGGCAAAAUGCCGACUUCUCUUUCUGUCCCUUCCUCCCCUUUUACAUGCCAAACUACUCUCCUCUGUCUUCUUGCUCUCACUAUCUCUCGUCUUCUGACCCCUUUUAGUCUGCAUCCUCAUUGAGUAUGCAAGACUCGCCUACUCUGAUUUGCACACCUGCCAUUUUCCACACACACACACACACACACACACACACACACACACACACACACUGAAUUAUAAACCAAACCGAAAAAAAAAUGCUUAUAGUGUCCAUUAAUUUUUUCCAAUAAUAAUAAUAAUAAAAUAAGAAUAAUAAUAAUGAUGAUGAUAACAAUAAUAAUAAAAACAAUAAACAAUAUAUA